RNAcentral lists this ribosomal RNA (312 nucleotides) under uncultured bacterium. RNAcentral describes it as "bacterial SSU rRNA". It matches the Rfam family "Bacterial small subunit ribosomal RNA", at positions 30 to 334 of the family's 1533-position model. The record is from RNAcentral.
AUUGAACGCUAGCGGGAUGCCUUACACAUGCAAGUCGAACGGCAGCAUAAGAGAGCUUGCUCUCUUGAUGGCGAGUGGCGAACGGGUGAGUAAUGUAUCGGAACGUGCCCAGUAGCGGGGGAUAACUACGCGAAAGCGUAGCUAAUACCGCAUACGCCCUACGGGGGAAAGGAGGGGAUCUGCAAGGACCUUUCACUAUUGGAGCGGCCGAUAUCGGAUUAGCUAGUUGGUGAGGUAACGGCUCACCAAGGCGACGAUCCGUAGCUGGUUUGAGAGGACUAUCCCCCACACUGGUACUGAGAUACGGUCCAA